GAACGCCCCGCAAGGGGAGUGGCAGACGGGUGAGUAACGCGUGGGAACGUGCCCUAAGGUUCGGAACAACUCCGGGAAACUGGGGCUAAUACCGAAUGGUUCCUACGGGAUAAAGAUUUAUCGCCAAGAGAUGAGUCCGCGUCCGAUUAGCUAGUUGGUGGGGUAACGGCCUACCAAGGCGACUAUCGGUAGCUGGUCUGAGAGGACGAUCAGCCACACUGGGACUGAGACACGGCCCAGACUCCUACGGGAGGCAGCAGUGGGGAAUAUUGGACAAUGGGGGCAACCCUGAUCCAGCCAUGCCGCGUGAGUGAUGAAGGCCUUCGGGGUUGUAAAGCUCUUUUGGGCGGGGACGAUGAUGACGGUACCCGCAUAAUAAGCCCCGGCUAACUUCGUG
This 397-nucleotide ribosomal RNA is filed under the name uncultured bacterium. RNAcentral describes it as "bacterial SSU rRNA". It matches the Rfam family "Bacterial small subunit ribosomal RNA", at positions 64 to 507 of the family's 1533-position model. The record is from RNAcentral.